RNAcentral lists this ribosomal RNA (253 nucleotides) under uncultured bacterium. Its description in RNAcentral is "partial 16S ribosomal RNA". It matches the Rfam family "Bacterial small subunit ribosomal RNA", at positions 524 to 776 of the family's 1533-position model. The record is from RNAcentral.
UACAGAGGUCUCAAGCGUUGUUCGGAUUCAUUGGGCGUAAAGGGUGCGUAGGCGGCGCGGUAAGUCGGGUGUGAAAUCUUGGAGCUUAACUCCGAAACUGCAUUCGAUACUGCCGUGCUUGAGGACUGGAGAGGAGACUGGAAUUUACGGUGUAGCGGUGAAAUGCGUAGAUAUCGUAAGGAAGACCAGUGGCGAAGGCGGGUCUCUGGGCCGAAACUGACGCUGAGGAGCGAAAGCGUGGGGAGCAAACAGG